RNAcentral lists this ribosomal RNA (1488 nucleotides) under metagenome. RNAcentral describes it as "bacterial SSU rRNA". It matches the Rfam family "Bacterial small subunit ribosomal RNA". The record is from RNAcentral.
AGAGUUUGAUCCUGGCUCAGGAUGAACGCUAGCGGCAGGCCUAAUACAUGCAAGACGAGCGGUAAUUUGAGUAGCAAUACUUGAACUAGAGCGUCGUAAGGGUGCGUAACACGUAUGCAAUCUGCCCGGAACUGGGGUAUAGCUCGGGGAAACUCGGAUUAACCCCCCAUAAGAUAGUAGAGUGGCAUCACUCAGCUAUUAAAACUCUGGUGGUUCCGGAUGAGCAUGCGGAUGAUUAGCUAGUUGGUGGUGUAACGGACCACCAAGGCAUGAUCAAUAGGGGAACUGAGAGGUUGAUCCCCCACACUGGCACUGAGAUACGGGCCAGACUCCUACGGGAGGCAGCAGUAGGGAAUAUUGGACAAUGGGUGCAAGCCUGAUCCAGCCAUGCCGCGUGCAGGAAGAAGGCUUUCUGAGUUGUAAACUGCUUUUGCCAGGGGAUAAAAAGUCCCUGCGGGGAAAAUUGAAGGUACCUGGUGAAUAAGCCACGGCUAACUACGUGCCAGCAGCCGCGGUAAUACGUAGGUGGCAAGCGUUGUCCGGAUUUAUUGGGUUUAAAGGGUGCGUAGGCGGUCUUCUAAGUCAGUUGUGAAAUACUUCAGCUUAACUGGAGAGGUGCAAUUGAUGCUGGAAGACUUGAGUACUGAUGAGGUAGGCGGAAUGGACGGUGUAGCGGUGAAAUGCUUAGAUAUCGUCCAGAACACCGAUAGCGAAGGCAGCUUACUAAGGAGUAACUGACGCUGAGGCACGAAAGUGUGGGGAUCAAACAGGAUUAGAUACCCUGGUAGUCCACGCCGUAAACGAUGAGUGCUAGGUGUCACGGGCUUUGACCCUCGUGGUGCCGAAGCUAACGCGUUAAGCACUCCGCCUGGGGAGUACGGUCGCAAGACUAAAACUCAAAGAAAUUGACGGGGGCCCGCACAAGCGGUGGAGCAUGUUGUUUAAUUCGACGCAACGCGAAGAACCUUACCUGGGCUAGAAAGUACAGGAAGUCGGUCGAAAGGUCGAUGUGCCCUUCGGGGAACCUGUGGUUAGGUGCUGCAUGGCUGUCGUCAGCUCGUGUCGUGAGAUGUUGGGUUAAGUCCCGCAACGAGCGCAACCCCUGUUGUUAGUUGCCAGCAUUAAGUUGGGCACUCUAACAAGACUGCCGACCUUUAAGUCGGAGGAAGGUGGGGAUGACGUCAAGUCAUCAUGGCCCUUAUGUCCAGGGCUACAAACGUGCUACAAUGGUCGAUACAAAGGGUUGCGAACUCGCGAGAGGGAGCCAAUCUCAAAAAGUCGGCCUCAGUACAGAUAGGAGUCUGCAACUCGACUCCUUGAAGUCGGAAUCGCUAGUAAUCGCUGAUCAGCAUGGCAGCGGUGAAUACGUUCCCGGGCCUUGUACACACCGCCCGUCACACCAUGGGAGUCGAUUGCUCCAGAAGUGCCUGAGCCAACCGCAAGGAGGCAGGGCCCCAAGGAGUGCUCGGUAACUGGGGUGAAGUCGUA